GCCGGAGGGGCCGCCCUUGCUAGAGGAGUGCGAGAGCUGCGCGUGCGCGGUACCUGAAGGCUGCCGAAGAUGACGCUCGCCAAGCAGGUCUACCGAGUGCUUUUACGCCGCAGCGCUACCUUCGCUCUCACGGUCGUGGUGGGCGCCUUGCUCUUCGAGCGAGCCUUCGACCAGGGCGCGGACUCCAUCUUCGAGCAGAUUAACAAGGAGGUAAGUCGGCCUGUAGGGUCGCGCAGGCCCGAGCCGGGGACUUGCGUAGAACGCGGGCCGGGGCUGGGUGAAGGUCAAACGGGGCCUUGAUAUACGAGAGGCCCCGGCUUCCGGCCUCUCGCGGUUCUUCGAAACAGCUGAACGCCUGCUUGGGCUUUCUCUGUGCGUCUUGCAUGGGGCCACCAGGAAGGUACGAGGGACAGUCUCCCAAACAAGCGAAAGCCAGAGGGCCUGAAAGGAUGUGCAGCUUGCAAUGACUACGGUCUGUUAAGAUCCUUAUUUUAUCUUUCAGGGGUGACCAAUGAGAGGGGUGACCAAUCUUAACUACCUGGAUUGUGAGCAUAGCGGGGUAAUGAAAGAAUUUAAUCAGUCACUAACGCACUUUAAUUUAUAGCAGAACUAACAACAGUUGAGACUACAGUUCCUAGAAGUCUUGGGGAGACGCUAUGGCAGGUAAACUAUAAACAAAUAAGCUGUGCCAAGUCAAGUCCCAAGUGCCUACUUAAUGCUGAAUUACAUGCAUGAACUUUUAUUGUGCUAGCCAAAGGCCAUGGCAUUGUUAUUCUAUGGUUCUUACCACCCAUUAUGAUCUGUUAGUUCAGCUGUGAAAUUUGUAGUUCAGGUUUUGCAGCAUCUACAAUGGAAGAACAGAUGUUUCACCUUAUACAUGGAAGAGAACAAUGGCCUGUGCUUCUGGGAAAGAGCCAUAGGAAGUGGCUGCUUUUUGCAAAUAAAUCAAGGUCUCUUGCUCCCUCAAAAGAUUCAGCAGUUUCUCUCCUGCUCCCCAGAAUGCUUGGAACUGCUUUCCAGAACACCUGUGGGAUGCAACCUCAUUCCUUCAAAAUCCGUCAAACAAACUCAUGUUUUCUGUGAAGCAUUUGCCUCAACCUUCUAGUUUUCAUGCCCUACUGUAUCUAUAACCUUAAGAAUGUGUAGCUGAAAUAAUGGCAUAUUUUUCCUGUUUUAUCUUUCUCCACAUCUUCCCUGUGACAAAUAUUCAGAUUGUAAUCUCCCUGGGGCAGGCACUUUCAUCUGCUCAUCAUCAUUUUAUUUUAUUUAUUUUAUAGACACUUUGGUGAUCUAUAAAUAGAAAUCAAGCUUUCUUAUUCUGAGGGUUUUUUGCUGUUGACAUAUAUCUGGAUGUUUUAUUCUGUGUGGUUGUACUUUUGGGGAGGCCACAGCACUGAUUUUGAGGCAAAGAGAAAGUGUUAAAGGCAAAGAAAGAGAACAGUUGACAAGUAAAGAGUGCAGUUGUAUGAGAAAAUGAGGAUGCAUAAUAUAGACUUUAAUGCUGUAGUCCUAAUUACACCUUUAGGGAGUAAAAAAGUAAAGGACCCCUGGACGGUUAAGUCCAGUCAAAGGUGACUAUGGGGUGCAAUGCUCUUCUCGCUUUUCAGGAUGAAGGUGUAAGUUCAGUUCAACAGGGCUUAUGAAUAAACAUAUUUAGGAUUAUACUGGAAUGAUGACACUCCUAUCAUGUAAGGUAAAGGGACCCCUGACCAUUAGGUCCAGUCGUGCUCAUCUUGCUUCAUUACCCAACGAGCCGGCGUACAGCUUCCGAGUCAUGUGGCCAGCAUGACGUAAGCCGCUUCUGACGAACCAGAGCAGCGCACGGAAACACCGUUUACCUUCCCGCUGGAGCGGUUCCUAUUUAUCUACUUGCACUUUGACGUUCUUUUGAACUGCUAGGUUGGCAGGAACAGGGACCAAGCAGCGGGAGCUCACCCCAUCGCGGGGAUUCGAACCGCCGACCUUCUGAUCAGCACGUCCUAGGCUCUGUGGUUUAACCCACAGCACCACCCGUGUCCCUAUCAUGUGCAGGUUAUCAAAGCAGCUGUGCAUCUUGUUACCUCUGUUGUCACCUUUAUUUUAAAUCACCUUGGGAGUAGUAUUGAGUGGUGUUGCUGUGUUUUGCAAAUACCACCCAUUAAUCCUGGUGGCAGUAAGUAGUGGACUGUGCCAGCUUGUAAUAUCCUGUUCAGCUGCAAACAAGCAUUCCUGAGGUUGUUGCUUAAGAUUACUGUAUUCUUGUGUCUCUUAUGAUGCAGAAACUCUGGAAGCACAUCAAGCAUAAGUACGAAGAGCCACGUGACGAGUGAAGCAGAAAUGCUGGAUUCCUGAUGGACCUUCUGUGAUCUUCACUACAAGCUCUUCUUCUUGACCACCGGCUGCUGAGGCAGAAAAUGUUUGUCCAUAUGUGGCAGUUUGAUCCAGAGUGCAUCCUCUCAAGAACAAGCUACCUGAACUUAUGAACUUAUUGUGCUGUGAAAUGUAGCUUAAUAAAAUACAUUCUAAGACAUUGUGUACUUCAGACCUUCCGUUUUAAUUUCCUCUGAGCUGAUUCCUUAGAAAUGUGGGACUUUAGCUCUCUAUUUUUGGAU
This 2591-nucleotide long non-coding RNA is filed under the name Podarcis lilfordi (Lilford's wall lizard). The record is from RNAcentral. Lineage: Eukaryota; Metazoa; Chordata; Lepidosauria; Squamata; Lacertidae.